UUAUGACCACAUCACGGUUAAAACACCGGUUCCAGCAGGACCGUCGAAGUUAAGCAACCUUGAGUCUGGUCAGUAUCUAAAUGGGCGACCGCUUGUGAAUACCAAGUGCUGUAA
Molecule: non-coding RNA, 114 nt
Organism: Acanthosepion pharaonis
Lineage: Eukaryota; Metazoa; Mollusca; Cephalopoda; Sepiida; Sepiidae
Source: the annotation of a GenBank genome assembly